This 497-nucleotide ribosomal RNA is filed under the name uncultured bacterium. RNAcentral describes it as "partial 16S ribosomal RNA". It matches the Rfam family "Bacterial small subunit ribosomal RNA", at positions 28 to 507 of the family's 1533-position model. The record is from RNAcentral.
GACGAACGCUGGCGGCGUGCCUAAUACAUGCAAGUAGAACGCUGAAGCGAGGAGCUUGCUCUUCUUGGAUGAGUUGCGAACGGGUGAGUAACGCGUAGGUAACCUGCCUUGUAGCGGGGGAUAACUAUUGGAAACGAUAGCUAAUACCGCAUAACAAUGGAUGACACAUGUCAUUUAUUUGAAAGGGGCAAUUGCUCCACUACAAGAUGGACCUGCGUUGUAUUAGCUAGUAGGUGAGGUAAUGGCUCACCUAGGCGACGAUACAUAGCCGACCUGAGAGGGUGAUCGGCCACACUGGGACUGAGACACGGCCCGGACUCCUACGGGAGGCAGCAGUAGGGAAUCUUCGGCAAUGGGGGCAACCCUGACCGAGCAACGCCGCGUGAGUGAAGAAGGUUUUCGGAUCGUAAAGCUCGGUUGUAAGUCAAGAACGGGUGUGAGAGUGGAAAGUUCACACUGUGACGGUAGCUUACCAGAAAGGGACGGCUAACUACGUG